This 137-nucleotide non-coding RNA is filed under the name human gut metagenome. Its description in RNAcentral is "RT-14 RNA". It matches the Rfam family "RT-14 RNA". From Rfam's summary of the family: Cloacimonetes, Firmicutes, Proteobacteria. The record is from RNAcentral.
CUCUAAUACGAUAUUCAGAUUAUAUAUUUUACGGAAUAUAUACAGUAAAUGUAUUAGUAUUAAAGAGAUUUAUUUCUUCCUUUUAAAGGUAAAAAUGAAUCAAUAGAAUAGAUAUUAGUAAAAGUUUGAAUAUAUCU